GCGAGAGCCAGGCCCAGUCACAGCCAGCUAACGGAGUCACAGUGCCUAGAACAGUAAGAUUCACUCAGAGGCUGCAUGGGAGCAGAAUGACCAGAGAGCAGCCUAGGCAAAGUGAAGUCUUGGGGUAGAGGCCAGAGUACGAAGAGCCGAGGGCUGAUUUGAGAGUUGGCAGGGGCAGGAGCAGGGGAACAGAGUGAAGAAGGAAGCCCAAAAGAACCAUUAGGAUGCACUUCAGUCCAGUGAGAAGGGCCUUUCUGGGCUCAGAAUGAGCAGGUCUGGCCCAGACCCAGACCCUCUCGGAGUCAACCUGGUUGGUUGCCCUGUCUGCUUGGCUCUUGCAGAUACUCAGGUAUAACAUAUGAACCCGACUGUGGUGAAGUCUGGCAUGCACAGCGUGUCUUGUGUGAGACACAGAGCUGGAUACUGGAUACUGUUUAAGAGAUGAAGG
RNAcentral lists this long non-coding RNA (448 nucleotides) under Heterocephalus glaber (naked mole-rat). Its description in RNAcentral is "lncRNA (ENSHGLG00100052354.1)". Lineage: Eukaryota; Metazoa; Chordata; Mammalia; Rodentia; Bathyergidae. The record is from RNAcentral.